Molecule: long non-coding RNA, 2240 nt
Filed under: Rattus norvegicus (Norway rat)
Lineage: Eukaryota; Metazoa; Chordata; Mammalia; Rodentia; Muridae
Description: long non-coding RNA NONRATT033124
Source: RNAcentral
GUAACUUCCUAAAACCGCAUAGAUCACAUCAGGAAUGGCCUCAGAUCAUGAAUUCAUCUCAACAGCAUCGUCUCAAGAACGGUCCUCUUCCUGUUGAUCCGCAGGCCUCUGUCCCAACGGAGCGGCCAUCAGCCAGGAGGGAAAUCCCAGCAGGCUGUAGGCAGCCAGCGUCUUGGCAUGCAUGCCCAAGGACAGCGGCCUGUCAGGACUCUGAGGGCUCUAGCUAGCAAGGAGAGGCGUGAGAAGGCAGACAAUGAGGCCUUGGCUAGAAUUCUCUGGGUGUAUUUUCAGUUUAACCAGCCAUCAGGAGUCACUGGCAGUGCAGAUGUGCGCUGCUGUGGAUGGAGGAAGAAACCUGUUGUGUGUCUACUGCUCUGCAGAAGCCUUGCCCAGCGGUGGUUAUAUCGGUGGGCUGCGGGGCCUGGAGAAUUCAGGGCAGUGGGAGGCUUCGGGUUUGUGGGAGGGAGGGGAAACACUUGGGAUUGGCCAUUACCAGGCAAGCAUCCAGCUAUUUACCAAACACCUUCUGACCUAGGUCCUUUCCUGCAUUUCCCACUGGAGCUUGAUCUCUGGUUCCAGGUGAACUUCAAGUCACAGGGACACGUGGUUACAACUUUCUUGGAAGGAGUGCAGUUUCUUUGGGAGAUGGAUGUGUGUGGGAGGGGGUGGAGGGUCGUGGGGGAAGGUUUGUGUGCCUGUGUGUGCUGCAGCUGCUGUGGUUGCUGGUGGUGGCGGUGGUGAUGGAUGGAUGAAUAGAUGAGUGGGUGGAUGAAUAAUGAGUAGAUGGAAGGAGGAGGUCUGGUCAGAGCAGAGGUCAGAGUCCUAAGGCCAUCCUGUAGAAGAUGGUCUGAAGUCUUUGAGCUCCCAGAGAAGCUUUUGGGAGUCCAGAUGCUUAAGUGUGCACAGAGGGUUGUCUCCCCCUGGGAAGGGAUGGAUCCCUGUUCUCUGCCCAGAAGGCUGGGGAUGGGCUUAGUUCCUAGCCCCGAGGGUGGCCUGUGUAUCUGAAGGGCCUGACCACACCUGAGCCCUCCCCAUCCCCUCACCGUGGUGUUACCCCCAGCCCUCCCCGCCCGUACCCCACCACCAACUCAUUCAUCUUGGGCUCUCCCUCCCAAGAGCUUUAUCUUGAACACUGGUUCCAAGUCAGGAGAAACCAUCCUUAAUGGAGAUGUCACACGUCCUGGGCAAAUGGAGCAGAGGCUAGGUGACCUCUGUGCCCUGUUGUGUAUAGGGCCGGGCCAUACCUGACUCCCUCGGACCUCUAUGUCCACCUCAAUCGGUCUUCCUAGUCCAGUGGCUCUCAAACAACUUCCUCAUCUCGUGGAGACCACCGACAGUAAAAGGAUCUAGUCUCUAUUUCCUCAAUGUGACGUUGCCACUGUUGAGAUGGGUUGUGCACAUGUCCCUGUUUUCCGUUGUCUGGUGGUGGCCCCGGUGAAAGGGUCCUUCCACCCACAGGAGGGGUGGCACUGUUGCCCUGGGCCCUUGAGCACUGUUUCCCAGCCAGAGGUACCCAAUUUUAAGAAAGAGGUCACAGGUACUUUGUAAAGAGCUUCUAUGUAAACACGCCUGAAGCAUUGUGGUAUACCCGUGACUGUGUGAAUGAUCAUCAGGAAGCAUUUUCCCAAAGUUCUGCUGUGCUUAAAUAGGCCUAAAAUGAGUUGCCUGGUGUCAAGACCAGGGAGGUGUGAACCAAGGCCAGCUCCUGAGUCCUGUUGAAGCAGAUUCCUCUAUUGCCUGGCAGGGCCCCUGGUGCUUGCAGAGAUUCCCCCAACACAACAUAGCCCCACCCCACACCCCUCAACCCCAGUCUCAAGCCUUCCACUACUCCACCACUCCACCCACCAUCCCACCUCUAUGGACCCAGUCAACUCUGUCUUUACAGUCUGUCUAAGGCCAGCUCGGGACACCACAGGGUUAAAGGAGGAAGGCUGAGUGUGGAAUUGGCUGGGAUGGAGGGGUGUGGGCCCUACUUUCCACUUUUCCCUGCGGGAUAAACUUUCAUUUAUACGGGGAGGGGGAGGGGCAGAGGGAGAGGGAGGGGAGUGGGGGAAGCAUGUGCAUUCCCUCUGACCAGCUGAGGGUUCUCUUAACCCUGGAAAAGGGAAAGAAAGAGCAAAGGAGAGAGGGAGAAAUCAUACACACACACACACACACACACACACACACACACACACACACACAAGGCACACACACAGGCAAACACACAGGCAAACACACAGGCAGACAGACACACACGC